RNAcentral lists this small RNA (350 nucleotides) under chicken gut metagenome. RNAcentral's name for it is "transfer-messenger RNA". It matches the Rfam family "transfer-messenger RNA". Rfam says of the family: Bacterial tmRNA, also known as 10Sa RNA or SsrA, is named for its dual tRNA and mRNA-like properties. Its role is to liberate the mRNA from a stalled ribosome. The record is from RNAcentral.
GGGGGUGUACCGGUUUCGACUGGGAUGCUGUAGGUCUUGGAUUGCAGGUGGAGUUCCGACCUCCUGAUUCGGAAAAAACUAUAACUGCCGAAAACAACGACAGUUUUGCAAUGGCUGCUUAGUCAGUCUGCACGGAGACUGGUUUGUUAUGCUCUGGACAUUCCAAAUCUCUGACGCCAAUCAGAGCUUGCUUUCCGGGGUGUCUGGUAUCCGGAGGGGACUUUUUAUCAGAAUAAGGAGCCGACGCUUGCGGUGCUGCUACCGGUUCCCGACAAUCACCUCGCACCGAUAAACCUGUAGAUGUCCCUGAUCACCUUUUCAGGACGGGGGUUCGAUUCCCCCCAUCUCCA